CACAAUUUUCCAUUAGUCACGAAUCCAACAAUCUAAUCAAAACUCAAUAAACUAAUUGAAACACCAUAACAUCAUCUCAAUACCAAACUAAUAACAAUUUUACAACCUCAAACCAAGCUUAUUUUUAUCAAUUAUUCACACAAAAUAUUUAUAAAUUAUUUACAGUUACUUACUAAACUUCAUUGGUAUUCAUAAGU
This is a non-coding RNA of Arachis ipaensis, 197 nucleotides long. The record is from RefSeq and is a predicted model, not a curated record. Lineage: Eukaryota; Viridiplantae; Streptophyta; Magnoliopsida; Fabales; Fabaceae.